RNAcentral lists this ribosomal RNA (504 nucleotides) under uncultured bacterium. RNAcentral's name for it is "partial 16S ribosomal RNA". It matches the Rfam family "Bacterial small subunit ribosomal RNA", at positions 29 to 523 of the family's 1533-position model. The record is from RNAcentral.
AUUGAACGCUGGCGGCAGGCCUAACACAUGCAAGUCGGACGGUAGCACAGAGAGCUUGCUCUUGGGUGACGAGUGGCGGACGGGUGAGUAAUGUCUGGGGAUCUGCCCGAUAGAGGGGGAUAACCACUGGAAACGGUGGCUAAUACCGCAUAACGUCGCAAGACCAAAGAGGGGGACCUUCGGGCCCCUCACUAUCGGAUGAACCCAGGUGGGAUUAGCUAGUAGGCGGGGUAAUGGCCCACCUAGGCGACGACCCCUAGCUGGUCUGAGAGGAUGACCAGACACACUGGAACUGAGGCACGGUCCAGACUCCUACGGGAGGCAGCAGUGGGGAAUAUUGCACAAUGGGCGCAAGCCUGAUGCAGCCAUGCCGCGUGUAUGAAGAAGGCCUUCGGGUUGUAAAGUACUUUCAGCGGGGAGGAAGGCGGUGCGGUUAAUAACCGCGUCGAUUGACGUUACCCGCAGAAGAAGCACCGGCUAACUCCGUGCCAGCCGCCGCGGUAA